RNAcentral lists this ribosomal RNA (506 nucleotides) under uncultured bacterium. Its description in RNAcentral is "partial 16S ribosomal RNA". It matches the Rfam family "Bacterial small subunit ribosomal RNA", at positions 29 to 523 of the family's 1533-position model. The record is from RNAcentral.
AGUGAACGCUGGCGGCAGGCCUAAUACAUGCAAGUCGAACGGCAGCACAGCAGAGCUUGCUCUGUGGGUGGCGAGUGGCGGACGGGUGAGGAAUACAUGGGAAUCUGCCCAGUCGUGGGGGAUAACGUAGGGAAACUUACGCUAAUACCGCAUGCGCCCUUCGGGGGAAAGCCGGGGACCUUCGGGCCUGGCGCGAUUGGAUGAGCCCAUGUCGGAUUAGCUAGUUGGCGGGGUAAAGGCCCACCAAGGCGACGAUCCGUAGCCGGUCUGAGAGGAUGAUCGGCCACACUGGAACUGAGACACGGUCCAGACUCCUACGGGAGGCAGCAGUAGGGAAUAUUGGACAAUGGGCGCAAGCCUGAUCCAGCCAUGCCGCGUGAGUGAAGAAGGCCCUCGGGUUGUAAAGCUCUUUUGUCCGGAAAGAAAAGCAUCCAGUUAAUACCUGGGUGUCCUGACGGUACCGGAAGAAUAAGCACCGGCUAACUUCGUGCCAGCAGCCGCGGUAA